This 245-nucleotide unclassified non-coding RNA is filed under the name plant metagenome. Its description in RNAcentral is "partial contains small subunit ribosomal RNA, internal transcribed spacer 1, and 5.8S ribosomal RNA". The record is from RNAcentral.
UCUCCGUUGGUGAACCAGCGGAGGGAUCAUUACCGAGUUUACAACUCCCAAACCCAAUGUGAACGUUACCAAACUGUUGCCUCGGCGGGGUCACGCCCCGGGUGCGUCGCAGCCCCGGAACCAGGCGCCCGCCGGAGGAACCAACCAAACUCUUUCUGUAGUCCCCUCGCGGACGUUAUUUCUUACAGCUCUGAGCAAAAAUUCAAAAUGAAUCAAAACUUUCAACAACGGGUCUCUUGGUUCUG